RNAcentral lists this ribosomal RNA (406 nucleotides) under uncultured bacterium. RNAcentral describes it as "partial 16S ribosomal RNA". It matches the Rfam family "Bacterial small subunit ribosomal RNA", at positions 30 to 526 of the family's 1533-position model. The record is from RNAcentral.
AUUGAACGCUGGCGGCAGGCCUAACACAUGCAAGUCGAACGAGUGGCGGACGGGUGAGUUAUGUGUGGGAAUCUGCCUGAUGGAGGGGGGUAACCUCUGGAAACGGUAGCUAACACCGCAUAGCAUGGGAUGUGCCCAGAUGGGUUUGGCUAGUAGGUGGGGUAAAGGUUCACCUAGGCGACGAUCCCUAGCUGGUCUGAGAGGAUGACCAGCCACACUGGAACUGAGACACGGUCCAGACUCCUACGGGAGGCAGCAGUGGGGAAUAUUGCACAAUGGGCGCAAGCCUGAUGCAGCCAUGCCGCGUGUAUGAAGAAGGCCUUCGGGUUGUAAAGUACUUUCAGCGGGGAGGCGUUACCCGCAGAAGAAGCACCGGCUAACUCCGUGCCAGCAGCCGCGGUAAUAC